This 248-nucleotide ribosomal RNA is filed under the name uncultured bacterium. Its description in RNAcentral is "partial 16S ribosomal RNA". It matches the Rfam family "Bacterial small subunit ribosomal RNA", at positions 85 to 334 of the family's 1533-position model. The record is from RNAcentral.
AAGAUGGCGACCGGCGCACGGGUGAGUAACACGUAUCCAACCUGCCGAUAACUCCGGAAUAGCCUUUCGAAAGAAAGAUUAAUACCGGAUAGUAUACGAAUAUCGCAUGAUAUUUUUAUUAAAGAAUUUCGGUUAUCGAUGGGGAUGCGUUCCAUUAGUCUGUUGGCGGGGUAACGGCCCACCAAGACUACGAUGGAUAGGGGUUCUGAGAGGAAGGUCCCCCACAUUGGAACUGAGACACGGUCCAA